UCUAUAUUUAUUUUUUUUAUGUUUUUCACUAUACUAAGGGAAAUUUAAAGUAGAAACUCCAGCAAGAACUCAAGCAUCAAACAACUCCUCUAAAACAUUCCAUAAACACUUGAUCCCUCAACAAUGGAAAUAUAAAAGUUCAAACAAAACCCCUAAGAGCCCUAUUCAUACAGGCCCAAACGUUCAAGGCAAGAUUGAAAGCUACAUGGCAUACCAUGCCUAAUAGAAUACAGACACAUACCCCUUCAUUAUGAUUAUCAACUCAUCAGCACCAAACGUGUGUUUCCAUCAUUAGCUGGCAAAAACUCAAAUGACACCUCCCUCUAUUAAAAUUGAGGUCUUCACAGAGUGGCCCAUGUACGUGCCAUGCACCUUUUCUUUUUUCACACUUAUGUUUC
This 398-nucleotide long non-coding RNA is filed under the name Gossypium barbadense (sea-island cotton). Its description in RNAcentral is "long non-coding RNA (GBAR_LNC013778)". Lineage: Eukaryota; Viridiplantae; Streptophyta; Magnoliopsida; Malvales; Malvaceae. The record is from RNAcentral.